AUUUUUUUCUUUUGCAGAGAAUCGAGGCUUUUUUAUAUGCUCAGCUUGCAGUAUUUUGUUCUUUCCUAGAGAGUCAAGGCUUUUUUAGCUGCACAGCUUGAGGGGAAUCAGAUUAUCAAAUUGGGUCAUGUAAUUGAAAGUGUUAAAAGUGCUAUAGAUGGAGUGUCAUGGCAAGUCACUGAAGGUCCUCUACAGAUUUUUGGAUUACUUAAGCAAAUUUGAUUGGGAGAAAUACUGUGUAAGUUUAAAUGGACCAGUUUACAAAUCCUCUCUACCUAAUAUUGUGGCUGAAGUACCAGAUAAUAGAGGGGAUGAUGUACUGCUAGGUGAAGAGUUUAUUAGAAACUGUGUACCAUCAAAGGGGUGUGAGACAAACUUACGAGUUUGUUCCUUAUAAUUGAUCCACUAAAAGAGAACAACCACCUUGGCCGUAGUGUCAAUAGAGGUAGCUUCUAUCGAAAAUGUAGUGCUUUUUAAAUAUGGAGCUCGCAAGCUAGGCUGGAUUCUCUUGUUACCAGCAGAGAGAAUAUCAGAUGAACUUAACAAGUUUUUAGCAACACUUUGGAUAGGCAUGAAAGUAAAUGUCAGACUACUGUGCAAAAUAAUGCCUUGUUGGAGCUGGGUGAAGAUUUGGAGUUGAUACCAGUAAAUGAAACAUCAACUAUGUCUCUUUUUGGUAGGUUUAAGCUUUGUAAGUUGCAAUAAGUUUCUUUAUUCUCGGAUAAGCUAGUGCAAUAAGUUGUAUUUACAUAUCUAUUACGACUUUAGAUUUUGAUCGAAAGUGAUGAUGUAUAUGAAUACAUUUGUAGACAUA
Molecule: long non-coding RNA, 814 nt
Organism: Rosa rugosa (rugosa rose)
Lineage: Eukaryota; Viridiplantae; Streptophyta; Magnoliopsida; Rosales; Rosaceae
Exons: 5
Source: RefSeq, a predicted model, not a curated record